Molecule: ribosomal RNA, 247 nt
Filed under: uncultured bacterium
Lineage: Bacteria
Description: partial 16S ribosomal RNA
Rfam family: Bacterial small subunit ribosomal RNA
Source: RNAcentral
AUACGUAGGUGGCAAGCGUUAUCCGGAUUUACUGGGUGUAAAGGGCGUGUAGGCGGGACUGCAAGUCAGAUGUGAAAUCCAGGGGCUCAACCCUUGGCCUGCAUUUGAAACUGUGGUUCUUGAGUGAUGGAGAGGCAGGCGGAAUUCCGAGUGUAGCGGUGAAAUGCGUAGAUAUUCGGAGGAACACCAGUGGCGAAGGCGACUUGCUGGACAUUAACUGACGCUGAGGCGCGAAAGCGUGGGGAGC